Molecule: small nucleolar RNA, 218 nt
Gene: U3
Rfam family: Small nucleolar RNA U3
About the family: Small nucleolar RNAs (snoRNAs) are involved in the processing and modification of rRNA in the nucleolus.
Source: Ensembl
AAGAUCAUACUUUCAGGGAUCAUUUCUAUAGUCUUUGACUUGAGAAAUAUCUAAAUGCGAAUGUGAUCGGUUACUCUAACCACGAUGAAGAGAACUGGUGUUCCUUCUGAGCGCGAAGCGGGCAGUGAGUGAUGAUGCAUUUCAUCCGCUCCUUGCCGUUGAUAACCGUUCCAUGCUCUCUAGUGGAGCCUGGAGGUAGGGAUCAUGAUCAGAGUGGU